UUCAUUUGAUGAUCAAUGUUUGAUUGAUAAGUAUUAAAUAAAUAAUUUAGACAGACUAAAUUAUUAUUUAAUCCCAAUGUCAACAUUACAUCAAAUUCUGAAUGUAGUAACUUUAACUUAGCAUAAAAAUGGCACCAAGUCUGUUACAUUUCAAAUUAGAAUAAAACAACAAAAACAAAUGUUUAAAACAUAAUGUAUUUAUAAGGAGAAAACUUGUGAAAUAAUUUAGUUUUGCAAAAUUCCACUUGCGAGCGCUCUAACAAAAAACGCGAGUAGGGAAAUUUUAAAAAAAGACGGAGACCAAAAAGAGGCAAGAAGAGAAAGAAGAAAGGGAGCAAGAAUCAAGAAGUGUCUUGUCAUUCAGGAUGCAGAGUGACCAGCCAUGGGCAAGAGGACACCAGUGAUGCCUAGGUUUGUAUGGGUGGUAAGAUAGCAUUGGCUUAGAUAUUAUAAUAGUGUUGGCCUAGAUAGAAGACUAAACCCUUCACCCUUCUAGCAGGUUCAGAGGCAAGAUGUGAGGUUCAAGACUGAACUUGGGCAGACGAUGAUGAGUCUUCAUUGGAUGUCCUUGAUGCAUGAUGACCAGAGGUCGUUAGAGGUCGCUAUAGAGUUCAACAGGUUAAGUAUCAGGAUAAGUAUAAAAGAUUAACAACCGUUUAACUCCACAGCUUCUAACAACCGUUUUACUCCACAGCUUCUAACAACCUUUUAUCUCCAGAGCUUCUAACAACCUUUCCCUCCACCUGCAGCUUUUUACGUUUUAUCAACUGGCUUUAACUUUGUUUUUGUUUUUCCCACAGAAGUUAUUGUGCCUUGAUGGUAGCAUCUCUUGGACACCGAUGAGAACAGUUUGUGUCCAUUCUUCUGAAGAGAAUGUUGUGAGAGGUUAAUGUGCGCAUUGCUGACAACUCUGGAACAAGUAGCUGGUGACAGUUUUGGUAUCAAGCCGAGUCUUGUGUGCGGUGGUGAGUAGCCUACAGCUGGAGUUGUUGCAACAGGCAUGGUGAAGGAAACAUCAACAAGUCAACAACAGACCGCAUGUUUUUGCGACACUUUGAUGCAGAUGCUGAAGAACUUUUUGAACUGUGCAACCAGCUGAAGGAGGACUGCGUCGAGUCUAGCCAGAUGAUUCUGCACACAAGGCGAACUAUUCAAGUGAACUCAGCUGGACCAUGAGGGCACCCUAUUGACUGUACGUGUCAUUCAAAGCUAAGGGCCUUUACCAAACCUCGGCUUGGGCUCUGGCUUUGGCUUCAGGCUUGAGCUAACUCAAACAGAGCUGGCAAGCCGCAGCCAGAGCCCAUGACGAGGUUUGGAAAAGACCCUUAGCAUAAAAACUUACUUGGUAGUGAGCAAUGGAGAGCAGUUGAUAAUGAAAAACAUUGUGAGAAAC
Asterias rubens (European starfish) is the source of this 1393-nucleotide long non-coding RNA. RefSeq lists it as uncharacterized. The transcript has 4 exons. Lineage: Eukaryota; Metazoa; Echinodermata; Asteroidea; Forcipulatida; Asteriidae. The record is from RefSeq and is a predicted model, not a curated record.